Non-coding RNA from Arachis ipaensis, 351 nucleotides. NCBI's taxonomy places the organism in Eukaryota, Viridiplantae, Streptophyta, Magnoliopsida, Fabales, Fabaceae. The record is from RefSeq and is a predicted model, not a curated record.
UGCACCUGGCACAACCAUGUUUUUGCAUAUGGCAUGGACUUUCCAAUAUUUGAAGCAAGCUAAAUUCCUUUCUUUAAAAUGGUGCCGCCCUCAGUGACUGUUUUCCAUGCUUGAGGUCUCACGUUCUUCCCAUAGAUUUCUGAUCAGGUUUUCUUUUAUAAAAUUGGAAUAAUCAUUUGAGUUGAACAUGCAUGUGUAUGUAAUUUCCUAUAUUUCGCUUAGCUUGAGAUUCAGAAUGUGCUUCUCCCCGUAGAUCAAUGUCACAUGACAUAAUUAAAACAGUGCAUGUAUAUAAAAGCAAAUUAAAUUUCAACCAGAAUCAUGAAUUAAUUAUUGAAGUUAACAUAAUUA